This 253-nucleotide ribosomal RNA is filed under the name uncultured bacterium. RNAcentral's name for it is "partial 16S ribosomal RNA". It matches the Rfam family "Bacterial small subunit ribosomal RNA", at positions 524 to 776 of the family's 1533-position model. The record is from RNAcentral.
UACGGGGGGGGCAAGCGUUGUUCGGAAUUACUGGGCGUAAAGGGCUCGUAGGCGGCCAACUAAGUCAGACGUGAAAUCCCUCGGCUUAACCGGGGAACUGCAUCUGAUACUGGAUGGCUUGAGUUCGGGAGAGGGAUGCGGAAUUCCAGGUGUAGCGGUGAAAUGCGUAGAUAUCAGGAAGAACACCCGUGGCGAAGGCGGCUCUCUGGGACGGUACUGACGCUGAGACGCGAAAGCGUGGGGAGCGAACAGG